RNAcentral lists this ribosomal RNA (372 nucleotides) under uncultured organism. RNAcentral describes it as "bacterial SSU rRNA". It matches the Rfam family "Bacterial small subunit ribosomal RNA", at positions 526 to 896 of the family's 1533-position model. The record is from RNAcentral.
CAGAGGUCCCAAGCGUUGUUCGGAUUCAUUGGGCGUAAAGGGUGCGUAGGCGGUAGAGUAAGUUGGAUGUGAAAUCUUGGGGCUUAACCUCAAAAUUGCAUUCAAUACUGCUUUGCUUGAGCGCUGUAGAGGAGAUUGGAAUUUACGGUGUAGCAGUGAAAUGCGUAGAUAUCGUAAGGAACGCCAGUGGCGAAAGCGAAUCUCUGGGCAGCAGCUGACGCUGAGGCACGAAGGCCAGGGGAGCAAACGGGAUUAGAUACCCCGGUAGUCCUGGCAGUAAACGGUGCGCGUUUGGUGUAGGCAGGUUCGACCCUGUCUGCGCCGAAGCUAACGCAUUAAACGCGCCGCCUGGGAAGUACGAUCGCAAGAUUA